AUACAGUAUGUCAAAAUGAUAAAAUAACGGUAAAUUAACACAGGUGAGGUUGUGCUGAAAAAAAUGAUACCAGGCAAGGCAAGGUAAAAAAAAAUUUAAGAGGAAAUAUAAAGGUAAAAUCUAAAGUAGUCAAAAACGGCCAAUAGUGACCGCCAGACUCCAUAGACAAGUCCCUUUGGCGCCACUCAGUGGGCAGAACUACUUUGUCUGCUGUAAUGUAUAUUUGGGUCAUCUUUGGCGCCCCCUAGAACGUAAACCGUGAGGUGCAGCGUCAUGAUUUUUACAACUUUUAACGGCCAUGGGGUGUAGAUUGGCCUGAGCAAAUUUGGUGCCGGUGGAACGAAAGCCUUCGGAGGAGUUAGCCACAUUCCAAUGUGUGCGGAUCGGCAAAAAAUGCGAAAUAGAUCUUUAACCGUACAUUAUACAGAUACGCGCGCAUUGACUUUUUCGUAGAUCUUAUUGAGAUACACGUGUGUGUCAAAUUUUGUGUCAAUAUGACAAAGCGUUCAGGCGUGACACUCAACAAUGUGUAUUUUCAUGUUAGGGGACAAGAAAAAAUGGACUUUUUUCUCCUGCCAUGGGGGGGCGCUCUUUUGGGGCGUAAAAAUUCCUUCACAAAUGUGUUGAUGGCUGGACAUUGCAUCAUCCUAGAAAACUUGGAGGCCAGUGGGGACAACAAUAAAAAGUUAUAAGACUUUUAAAUAUGUGGAUUUUACGGUUAUCUUUGGCGCCCCCUAGAACCUAAACCGUGGGGUGCAGCGUCAUGAUUUGAAUAACUUUUAAUGGCCAUGGGGUGUAGAUUGGCCUGAGCAAAUGUGGUGCCGGUGGAACGAAAGCCUUCGGAGGAGUUAGCGAAAUUCCAAUGUGUGCGGAUCGGCAAAAAAUGCGAAAUAACCCUUUAACUGUACAUUUUACAGAUGCGUGGCCAUUGACUUUUUCGAAGAUCUUAUUGAAAUACACAUGUAUGUCAAAUUUUGUGUCAUUUUGACAAAGCGUACAGGCGUGACACUCUACAAUGUGUAUUUUCACCUUAGGGGACAAGAAAAAAUGGACUUUUUUCUCCUGCCAUGGGGGGGCGCUCUUUUGGGGAGUAAAAAUUCCUUCACAAAUGUGUUGAUGGCUGGACAUUGCAUCAUCCUAGAAAAAUUGGAGGCUAGUGAGGGCAAAAAUAAAAAGUUAUAAGACUUUUAAAUAUGUGGAUUUUAGGGUUAUCUUUGGCGCCCCCUAGAACCUAAACCGUGGGGUGCAGCGUCAUGAUUUGAAUAACUUUUAAUGGCCAUGGGGUGUAGAUUGGCCUGAGCAAAUGUGGUGCCGGUGGAACGAAAGCCUUCGGAGGAGUUAGCGAAAUUCCAAUGUGUGCGGAUCGGCAAAAAAUGCGGAAUAACCCUUUAACCGUACAUUUGACAGAUACGCCCGCACUGACUUUUUUGUAGAUCUUAUUGAGAUACAUGUGUGUGUCAAUUUUUGUGUCAUUUUGACAAAGCGUACAGGCGUGACAGUCAAUAGUGUGAAUUUUAACCUUAGGGGGCGCUAUGGAGCCAUUUUGCAUUUUCUUGUUUGGGCGACUUCGGAAUAUCAAAUUUUUCACCAGGCCCGGUCGUCCUGCCAAAUUUCAUGAGUUUUCGCCAGUGGGAAGUGGGCCAUUUUCCCGUUCAAAGGGGAGGAAAAAUAAGAAGAAAGAAAGAAAGAAAGAAAGAAAGAAAGAACUAGGGCCCCGGUGGGGCACUGUCGGGCCCGAGCCGCGUCGCGCCGCCCCCAGCGCGACCGCCUCCCCCUCCCGAUCACGUCACACUCAAGGUCCAAAGAUGGUGUGCGCACUUGUCUGUGGUCAUUUCCCAUUAUAAUGAAUGGGAGGCGCAGUUUCUACCAAAACACUCGCUACAGACAAACUAAAGUCUGAUCCAUGAGUGAGGGCACAAACACAGCUAGGAUAUAUCCAAACGGCAAGUUGCUCCUCGUUACGGUGUUGCCGGGAGAGCGAUGCGAUUGAGCCAUUGAGUGAUGGGAAGGAAAAACUUGACUGUUUCUCCUGCCAUGGGGGAUGGGGGAUGGGGGAUGGGGGAUGGGGGGGGGGGGGGGGAAUGUGGAUUCUUUUAAGAAUGUGGAUAUUUGGGUCAUCUUUGGCGCCCCCUAGAACGUAAACCGUGGGGUGCAGCGUCAUGAUUUUUACAACUUUGAAUGGCCAUGGGGUGUAGAUUGGCCUGAGCAAAUUUGGUGUCAGUGGGACGAAAGCCUUAGGAGGAGUUAGCCACAUUCCAAUGUGUGCGAAUCGGCAAAAAAUGCAAAAUAGCCCUUUAACCGUACAUUUUACAGAUACGCGCGCAUUGACUUUUUCGUAGAUCUUAUUGAGAUACAUGUGAUUCUCAAAUUUUGUGUCAAUAUGAAAAAGCGUACAGGUAUGACAGUCAACAAUGUGUAUUUUCACCUUAUGGGACAAGAAAAAAUUGACUUUUUUCUCCUGCCAUGGGGGGGCGCUCUUUUGGGGAGUAAAAAUUCCUUCACAAAUGUGUUGAUGGCUGGACAUUGCAUCAUCCUAGAAAACUUGGAGGCCAGUGAGGACAAAAAUAAAAAGUUAUAAGACUUUGAAAUAUGUGGAUUUUAGGGUUAUCUUUGGCGCCCCCUAGAACGUAAACCGUCGGGUGCAGCGUCAUGAUUUGAAUAACUUUGAAUGGCCAUGGGGUGUAGAUUGGCCUGAGCAAAUGUGGUGCCAGUGGAACGAAAGCCUUAGGAGGAGUUAGCCACAUUCCAAUGUGUGCGGAUCGGCAAAAAAUGCGGAAUAGCCCUUUAACCGUACAUUUGACAGAUACAUGCCCUUUGACUUUUUCAUAGAUCUUAUUGAGAUACACGUGAUUGUCAAAUUUUGUGUCAAUAUGACAAAGCAUACAGGCGUGACACUCGACAAUGUGUAUUUUCACCUUAGGAGACAAGAAAAAAUGGACCUUUUUCUCCUGCCAUUGGGGGGCCCUCUUUUGGGGAGUAAAAAUUCCUUCACAAAUGUGUUGAUGGCUGGACAUUGCAUCAUCCUAGAAAACUUGGAGGCCAGUGAGGACAAAAGUAAAAAGUUAUAAGACUUUUAAGAAUGUGGAUUUUUGGGUUAUCUUUGGCGCCCCCUAGAACGUAAACCGUGGGGUGCAGCGUUAUGAUUUGUACAACUUUUAAUGGCCAUGGGGGGUAGAUUGGCCUGCGCAAAUGUGGUGCCGGUCGAACGAAAGCCUUCGGAGGAGUUAACGAAAUUCCAAUGUGUGCAGAUCUGCAAAAAAUGCAAAAUAACCCAUUAACCGUACAUUUGACAGAUACGCCCACACUGACUUUUUUGUAGACCUUAUUGAGAUACAUGUGUGUGUCAAUUUUUGUGUCAAUAUGACAAAGCGUACAGCCGUCAUGUGAAUUUUCACCUUAGGGGGCGCUAUGGAGCCAUUUUGCAUUUUAUUGUUUGGGCGACUUCAGAAUAUCGAAUUUUUCACCAGGCCCGGUCGUCCUGCCAAAUUUCCUGAGUUUUCGCCAGUGGGAAGUGGGCCAUUUUCCAGUUUAAAGCGGAGGAAAAAUAACUAGGACCCCGUUGGGGCACUGGCGGGCCCGAGCUGUGUCGCGUCCCCCCCCCAACGCGCUGCCUCCCCAUCCCAUUUGUUUCCUCUGGCCAUCGCCCUCUCUGGUAACGCCCAUCACUGCAAAGACCCUUUUCCUUCAUCGGCGUUUGCUGUUCUUCCUGCCAGUGCGUGUUGCUUUCACUUACACUUGCCACAGCCAGCCUCGUGAGUGCCUAGCCUAUUGGAUAUCACUGUCACCUACACAGGACAGUCAUUACCUUUCUAUUUAGGGCCCGAGCGUAGCUGCUAAGCAGCUGCGAGAGCCCUAUUAUUCCUGAUGGAUUCUUCUUUCUUCUUCUUCUUCUUAUUAUUUUUCUGCCCCUUUGAACUGGAAAAUGGCCCACUUCCCACUGGUGAAAAGUCAUGAAAUUUGGCAGGACGACCGGGCCUGGUGAAAAAUUCGAUAUUCUGAAGUCGCCCAAAAAAUCAAAUGCAAAAUGGCUCCAUAGCGCCCCCUAAGGUGAAAAAUUCACAUGAUUGAGUGUCACGCCUGUACGCUUUGUCAAAAUGACACAAAAUUUGACACACACGUGUAUCUCAAUAAGAUCUACAAAAAAGUCAGUGCGGGCGUAUCUGUCAAAUGUACGGUUAAAGGGCUAUUUCGCAUUUUUUGCCGAUCCGCACACAUUGGAAUUUCGCUAACUCCUCCGAAGGCUUUCGUUCCACCGGCACCACAUUUGCUCAGGCCAAUCUACACCCCAUGGCCAUUAAAAGUUGUACAAAUCAUGACGCUGCAUCCCACGGUUUACGUUCUAGGGGGCGCCAAAGAUAACCCAGAAAUCCACAUUCUUAAAAGUCGUAUAACUUUUUAUUUUUGUCCUCACUGGCCUCCAAGUUUUCUAGGAUGAUGCAAUGUCCAGCCAUCAACACAUUUGUGAAGGAAUUUUUACUCCCCAAAAGAGCGCCCCCCCAUGGCAGGAGAAAAAAGUCCAUUUUUUCUUGUCUCCUAAGGCGAAAAUUCACACUAUUGACUGUCACGCCUUUACGCUUUGUCAUAUUGACACAAAAAUUGACACACACAUGUAUCUCAAUAAGAUCUACAAAAAAGUCAGUGCGGGCGUAUCUGUCAAAUGUACGGUGAAAGGGUUAUUUCGCAUUUUUUGCCGAUCCGCACACAUUGGAAUUUCGCUAACUCCUCCGAAGGCUUUCGUUCCAAAGGCACCACAUUUGCUCAGGCCAAUCUACACCCCAUGGCCAUUAAAAGUUGUACAAAUCAUGACGCUGCACCCCACGGUUUACGUUCUAGGGGGCGCCAAAGAUAACCCAAAAAUCCACAGUCUUAAAAGUCUUAUAACUUUUUAUUUUUGUCCUCACUGGCCUCCAAGUUCUCUAGGAUGAUGCAAUGUCCAGCCAUCAACACAUUUGUGUAGGAAUUUUUACUCGCCAAAAGAGCGCCCCCCCCAUGGCAGGAGAAAAAAGUCCAUUUUUUCUUGUCUCCUAAGGCGAAAAUACACAUUGUUGACUGUCACGCCUUUACGCUUUGUCAAAAUGACACAAAAUUUGACACACACAUGUAUCUCAAUAAGAUCUACAAAAAAGUCAGUGCGGGCGUAUCUGUCAAAUGUACGGUUAAAGGGUUAUUUCGCAUUUUUUGCCGAUCCGCACACAUUGGAAUUUCGCUAACUCCUCCUAAAUCUUUUGUCCCAUCGGCUUCAAAUUUGCUCAGGUCAAUCUACACCCCAUGGCCAUUCAAAGUUGUACAAAUCAUGACGCUGCACCCCACAGUUUACGUUCUAGGGGGCGCCAAAGAGGACCCAAAUAUCCACAUUUUUAAAAGUCUUAUAACUUUUUAUUUUUGUCCUCACUGGCCUCCAAGUUUUCUAGGAUGAUGCAAUGUCCAGCCAUCAACACAUUUGUGAAGGAAUUUUUUCUCCCCAAAAGAGCGCCCCCCCAUGGCAGGAGAAAAAGUCAAGUUUUUCCUGCCCAUCGCUCAAUGGCUCAAACGCAUCGCUCUCUCUGCAAAACCGAAAGGAGGAGCAACUUGCCAUUUAGAUAUAUACUAGCUGUGUUUGUGCCCUCACUCAUGGUCCAGACUUUUUUCAAAUAGGACAUGUAGUUUGUCUGCAGCGAGCGUUUUGGUAGAAACUGCGCCUCCCAUUCAUUAUAAUGGGAAAUGACCACAGACAAGUGCGCACACCAUCUUUGGACCUUGAGUGUGACGCGAUCGGGAGGGGGAGGCGGUCGCGCUGGGGGCGGCGCGACGCGGCUCGGGCCCGACAGUGCCCCACCGGGGCCCUAGUAAUACUUUGUUUUUUAAUUUCACAUUAAUUUCCAUAUUGUAUAAACAACUGGAAAAAACUUGAGCCCCUGCCCCUGUAUAAUCAUGUGCACGUCUCUGUUCUAGCUCUAAGGUGAAUCUUCACUGCUCAUGUUCUCCUCAGAAGCAGUCACCUCACUCCCCUCAGGUUACUGUACACAUGCACCAACUGCCUGCUUCAGGUUUGGAUGGAGCUUCAUGGUUGUCUUUUGGAGAAAUGACCAGUCAAGUUGUGUUUGAAAUUUGAUUUUUUUCAGGGGCAAAAGGAGCCUCUGCAUUCUUGUCAAAUAUGUAAAUAGCAUGUUUUUGCAGGUGCUAAAAACCAGACUCUGAGUGUGUGUGUGUGCGUGUGUGUGUGUGUCUGUGUGUGUGUGUGUGUGUGUGUGUGUGUGCGCGUUCAAGUCACAUGACAUAUUUAACCGGAUGUAGCUGCAAGACGGAGCCUCGUUGACUCUCCGUUUCAACUUAUCUCAAAAGUGAGGAUCUCAACCUAUAUACCAGUUUUUAAAUUGUGUUGAUAGGCCAAAUAAAACCAGAGUUAUGAUAAAUUAUGUCCGCGAUACUUGUUUUCUGCUUAUUUUGAUCACGUUCGGCGCUCGAUCGCGCUGUAUGAGACAGGAAAACAUAGCAUGCAGACAUUAGCGACAGCUCUUACAGGCGGAAAAGGCUUGCCAAAAGAAAAAAAAAACACACCACAACAUCUCUCCUAUUGGUGGAAAACUUCACCACAACAACCAAUCCAAAAUUAUAUGGUGACUGAUUGACAAGGGGCGGGCGCUUACGUUCUUCCUGCAAUAUGAGAAGGGAGGGAGGGACUCUCAGCAGGGAUGCAGUCUGGGACACGUAGUUGCAAACCUAGCGACUUUGUUGUAGAUUCAAUGACUUUUCAGACCCCCUAACGACUUUUUUUUUAGAAAGAAAGGGACUUUUAUCGACUUCUUCUGGAGUUUAGAAACUCUGACAUGAAGCAGGCUUUCCUUACUGAGGAGUUAGCAACGCUGCUAAGGGUGCAGAGACACACAUGAGCUCCGAGCUCUGCAUGGGAGACUGAAGCUGACAGAGCUGCAGCAGUUAGCAGGUUUCACCCUCAGAGACCACCAGGGGUUCAUGUUGAGGCAUUUUCAGUUUUUUUUUUUUUUUUGCCAUAGACACUGUCAGCACAAUCUGCAGUUACACUAACAAAAAAGCUGCAAAAAACAAAGAAUUAUGGAAAAAUUACACAUGGACUGACAUAGAGGAGGAUCUACACAAGUUUUUUACAUCAUGUUUUACAUCAUGCAUCAUUUACAUCAUGUUUUUUUGUAGUGGCAUAAAUAAAAAGUGACAUUUGUGAGACUAUACAGUGUUUUGUAAAUAAUUUUACAAAGAACGCCUGGGCCAUUGCCUGCAUUUUGAUGUAAAUAGAGGUAAAUUACUAUGUUCUUUGUUAAAAAUUUGCAUAUGUUUUGAAGUUUACAAUUUUUAUUUGAAGUUUAAGUUUUAAAAACAGUUCAUCACACAUAUUUGUGGUUUUCACAGUAAAAAUGUUACUUUUUUCCACUCGGAUUUUAUGUUUUGUGUGUGAAUUUGGGUCCAUUGUGUAAAUACAGUAUGUCAAAAUGAUAAAAUAACUGUAAAUUCACACAGGUGAGGUUGUGCUGAAAAAAAUGAUACCAGGCAAGGCAAGGUAAAAAAAUUUUAAGAGGAAAUAUAAAGGUAAAAUCUAAAGUAGUCAAAAAAGGCCAAUAGUGACUCACAGACUCCACAGACUAGUCCCUUUGGCGCCACUCAGUGGGCAAAACUACUUUGUCUGCUGUAAUGUAUAUUUGGGUCAUCUUUGGCGCCCCCUAAAACGUAAACCGUGGGGUGCAGCGUCAUGAUUUUUACAACUUUGAAUGGCCAUGGAGUGUAGAUUGGCCUGAGCAAAUUUGGUGUCAGUGGGACGAAAGCCUUAGGAGGAGUUAGCGAAAUUCCAAUGUGUGCGAAUCGGCAAAAAAUGCAAAAUAGCCCUUUAACCGUACAUUUUACACUUACGUGCCCAUUGACUUUUUCAUAGAUCUUAUUGAGAUACAUGUGAUUGUCAAAUUUUUUGUCAAUAUGACAAAGCGUAAAGGCGUGACAGUCAACAAUGUGUAUUUUCACCUUUCGGGAUAAGAAAAAAUGGACUUUUUUCUCCUGCCAUGGGGGGGCGCUCUUUUGGAGAGUUAAAA
Molecule: non-coding RNA, 8033 nt
Organism: Xyrichtys novacula (pearly razorfish)
Lineage: Eukaryota; Metazoa; Chordata; Actinopteri; Labriformes; Labridae
Source: the annotation of a GenBank genome assembly